RNAcentral lists this ribosomal RNA (136 nucleotides) under uncultured eukaryote. RNAcentral describes it as "partial 18S ribosomal RNA". It matches the Rfam family "Eukaryotic small subunit ribosomal RNA", at positions 1299 to 1458 of the family's 1831-position model. The record is from RNAcentral.
UGGUGGAGUGAUUUGUCUGGUUAAUUCCGUUAACGAACGAGACCUCUUCUUACUAGUUAGAAGGUUCUUAUGCGUAAGUAUCAUCUUCUUAGAGGAACUACUGGUUCUUAGCCAGGGGAAGUUAGAGGCAAUAACA